Molecule: non-coding RNA, 241 nt
Organism: Cinara cedri
Lineage: Eukaryota; Metazoa; Arthropoda; Insecta; Hemiptera; Aphididae
Source: the annotation of a GenBank genome assembly
GAAAUGGUGUCGCACGUUUAUAUCUGUGCAAGAUUUAUAGUCGAAUUUUUGUACACAGGAUAAAAAAAUAAAAAAAUAAAAAAAUAAUUAACAUCUUAGUAAAACUAAUACAUUUUUUGCUACACUCGGAAUCUAAAAUUGUGCUUACGUAUCUGUAUUAUAGGGCUUUGCCCAUUUUAUUCAUCGAAUAAAAUAUUAUUAUUGUUAUUAUUAUAGUAAAUUUUAACAGGCGUCAGACUCU